RNAcentral lists this ribosomal RNA (492 nucleotides) under uncultured bacterium. RNAcentral's name for it is "partial 16S ribosomal RNA". It matches the Rfam family "Bacterial small subunit ribosomal RNA", at positions 29 to 507 of the family's 1533-position model. The record is from RNAcentral.
AGUGAACGCUGGCGGUAGGCCUAACACAUGCAAGUCGAACGGCAGCACAGUAAGAUCUUGCUCUUACGGGUGGCGAGUGGCGGACGGGUGAGGAAUACAUCGGAAUCUACUUUUUCGUGGGGGAUAACGUAGGGAAACUUACGCUAAUACCGCAUACGACCUACGGGUGAAAGCAGAGGAUCUUCGGACCUUGCUCGAUUGAAUGAGCCGAUGUCGGAUUAGCUAGUUGGCGGGGUAAAGGCCCACCAAGGCGACGAUCCGUAGCUGGUCUGAGAGGAUGAUCAGCCACACUGGAACUGAGACACGGUCCAGACUCCUACGGGAGGCAGCAGUGGGGAAUAUUGGACAAUGGGCGCAAGCCUGAUCCAGCCAUACCGCGUGGGUGAAGAAGGCCUUCGGGUUGUAAAGCCCUUUUGUUGGGAAAGAAAAGCAGCAGGUUAAUACCCCGCUGUUCUGACGGUACCCAAAGAAUAAGCACCGGCUAACUUCGUG